AUUGAACGCUGGCGGCAGGCUUAACACAUGCAAGUCGAGCGGAGAGAGGUAGCUUGCUACUGAUCUUAGCGGCGGACGGGUGAGUAAUACUUAGGAAUCUGGCUAUUAGUGGGGGACAACAUUUCGAAAGGGAUGCUAAUACCGCAUACGUCCUACGGGAGAAAGCAGGGGAUCUUCGGACCUUGCGCUAAUAGAUGAGCCUAAGUCGGAUUAGCUAGUUGGUGGGGUAAAGGCCUACCAAGGCGACGAUCUGUAGCGGGUCUGAGAGGAUGAUCCGCCACACUGGGACUGAGACACGGCCCAGACUCCUACGGGAGGCAGCAGUGGGGAAUAUUGGACAAUGGGGGGAACCCUGAUCCAGCCAUGCCGCGUGUGUGAAGAAGGCCUUAUGGUUGUAAAGCACUUUAAGCGAGGAGGAGGGUACUGGUAUUAAUACUACCAGGUACUGGACGUUACUCGCA
This 461-nucleotide ribosomal RNA is filed under the name uncultured bacterium. RNAcentral describes it as "bacterial SSU rRNA". It matches the Rfam family "Bacterial small subunit ribosomal RNA", at positions 30 to 483 of the family's 1533-position model. The record is from RNAcentral.